This 148-nucleotide signal recognition particle RNA is filed under the name Gorilla gorilla gorilla (western lowland gorilla). Its description in RNAcentral is "Metazoan signal recognition particle RNA". It matches the Rfam family "Metazoan signal recognition particle RNA". From Rfam's summary of the family: The signal recognition particle (SRP) is a universally conserved ribonucleoprotein. Lineage: Eukaryota; Metazoa; Chordata; Mammalia; Primates; Hominidae. The record is from Rfam by way of RNAcentral.
GCCGGGCGCUGUGGCGGGUGCCUGUAAUCCCAGCUACUUGGGAGGCUGAGGCAGGAGAAUCGCUUGAACCCGGGAGGCGGAGGUUGCAGUGAGCUGAGAUCACACCACUGCACUCUAACCUGGGUGACAGAGCAAGACUCUGUCUCAA